UACGUAGGGAGCAAGCGUUGUCCGGAAUCAUUGGGCGUAAAGCGCGCGUAGGUGGCUAUGUAAGUCCGUUGUGAAAGUCAAAGGCUCAACCUUUGAAAGCCGAUGGAUACUGCAUAGCUAGAGUACGGAAGAGGCGAGUGGAAUUCCUGGUGUAGCGGUGGAAUGCGCAGAUAUCAGGAGGAACACCAAUAGCGAAGGCAGCUCGCUGGGACGUUACUGACACUGAGGCGCGAAAGCGUGGGGAGCGAACAGG
This 253-nucleotide ribosomal RNA is filed under the name uncultured bacterium. RNAcentral's name for it is "partial 16S ribosomal RNA". It matches the Rfam family "Bacterial small subunit ribosomal RNA", at positions 524 to 776 of the family's 1533-position model. The record is from RNAcentral.